This 44-nucleotide non-coding RNA is filed under the name Trypanosoma brucei brucei. Lineage: Eukaryota; Euglenozoa; Kinetoplastea; Trypanosomatida; Trypanosomatidae. The record is from RNAcentral.
AAUCUAAUGACGAGAACUUGUAUAUGAUAAUGAAGGUGAUAAUU